This is a small nuclear RNA of Talpa occidentalis (Iberian mole), 105 nucleotides long. The record is from RefSeq and is a predicted model, not a curated record. Lineage: Eukaryota; Metazoa; Chordata; Mammalia; Eulipotyphla; Talpidae.
UUGACUUCUUUGGCAUCACAUACACUAAAAUUGUAACAACACAGAGGAAAUUGGCAAGGACCUUUUGCAAGUAUGACACAAAUUUGUGAAGUGUUCCAUAUUUCU